CCUACGGGAGGCAGCAGUGGGGAAUAUUGCACAAUGGGCGGAAGCCUGAUGCAGCGACGCCGCGUGAGGGAUGAAGGCCUUCGGGUUGUAAACCUCUUUCAGCAGGGACGAAGCGUGAGUGACGGUACCUGCAGAAGAAGCACCGGCUAACUACGUGCCAGCAGCCGCGGUAAUACGUAGGGUGCGAGCGUUGUCCGGAAUUACUGGGCGUAAAGAGUUCGUAGGCGGUUUGUCGCGUCGUUUGUGAAAACCCGGGGCUCAACUUCGGGCUUGCAGGCGAUACGGGCAGACUUGAGUGUUUCAGGGGAGACUGGAAUUCCUGGUGUAGCGGUGAAAUGCGCAGAUAUCAGGAGGAACACCGGUGGCGAAGGCGGGUCUCUGGGAAACAACUGACGCUGAGGAACGAAAGCGUGGGUAGCAAACAGGAUUAGAUACCCUGGUAGUCCACGCCGUAAACGGUGGGCGCUAGGUGUGGGUUCCUUCCACGGGAUCUGUGCCGUAGCUAACGCAUUAAGCGCCCGCCUGGGAGUCGGCCGCAAGGCUAAAACUCGAAAGGAUUGACGG
RNAcentral lists this ribosomal RNA (564 nucleotides) under uncultured bacterium. Its description in RNAcentral is "bacterial SSU rRNA". It matches the Rfam family "Bacterial small subunit ribosomal RNA", at positions 338 to 916 of the family's 1533-position model. The record is from RNAcentral.